GACUCCGUAGCUCAGCUGGGAGAGCGCCACCUUGACAGGGUGGAGGUCGGUGGUUCGAGCCCACUCGGAGUCA
Molecule: transfer RNA, 73 nt
Filed under: Alkalibacillus filiformis
Lineage: Bacteria; Bacillati; Bacillota; Bacilli; Caryophanales; Bacillaceae
Also listed under: 5 other names
Description: tRNA-Val
Rfam family: tRNA
About the family: Transfer RNA (tRNA) molecules are approximately 80 nucleotides in length. Their secondary structure includes four short double-helical elements and three loops (D, anti-codon, and T loops).
Source: RNAcentral